This 21-nucleotide non-coding RNA is filed under the name Arabidopsis thaliana (thale cress). Lineage: Eukaryota; Viridiplantae; Streptophyta; Magnoliopsida; Brassicales; Brassicaceae. The record is from RNAcentral.
CCAUCCACUGCUGUAAGAGGG